This 484-nucleotide ribosomal RNA is filed under the name uncultured bacterium. Its description in RNAcentral is "partial 16S ribosomal RNA". It matches the Rfam family "Bacterial small subunit ribosomal RNA", at positions 28 to 507 of the family's 1533-position model. The record is from RNAcentral.
AUUGAACGCUGGCGGCAUGCUUUACACAUGCAAGUCGAACGGCAGCGCGGGCUUCGGCCUGGCUGCGAGUGGCGAACGGGUGAGUAAUGCAUCGGAACGUGCCCAGUAGUGGGGGAUAGCCCGGCGAAAGCCGGAUUAAUACCGCAUACGACCUGAGGGUGAAAGCGGGGGACCGAAGGGCCUCGCGCUAUUGGAGCGGCCGAUGUCGGAUUAGCUAGUUGGUGGGGUAAAGGCUUACCAAGGCGACGAUCCGUAGCUGGUCUGAGAGGACGACCAGCCACACUGGGACUGAGACACGGACCAGACUCCUACGGGAGGCAGCAGUGGGGAAUUUUGGACAAUGGGGGGAACCCUGAUCCAGCCAGGCCGCGUGCGGGAAGAAGGCCUUCGGGUUGUAAACCGCUUUUGUUCGGGAAGAAAUCCUCUGGGCUAAUACCCCGGGGGGAUGACGGUACCGGAAGAAUAAGCACCGGCUAACUACGUG